GAUAAACGCUGGCGGCGCACAUAAGACAUGCAAGUCGAACGGACUUAACCGAAAUGUUUACAUUUUGGAGCGGUUAGUGGCGGACUGGUGAGUAACACGUAAGCAACCUGCCUAUCAGAGGGGAAUAACAGUGAGAAAUCACUGCUAAUACCGCAUAUGCUGUGAGUAUCGCAUGGUACAAACAGGAAAGGAGCAAUCCGCUGAUAGAUGGGCUUGCGUCUGAUUAGAUAGUUGGUGGGGUAACGGCCUACCAAGUCGACGAUCAGUAGCCGGACUGAGAGGUUGACCGGCCACAUUGGGACUGAGAUACGGCCCAGACUCCUACGGGAGGCAGCAGUGGGGAAUAUUGCACAAUGGGGGAAACCCUGAUGCAGCGACGCCGCGUGAGUGAAGAAGUAUUUCGGUACGUAAAGC
This 414-nucleotide ribosomal RNA is filed under the name uncultured bacterium. Its description in RNAcentral is "bacterial SSU rRNA". It matches the Rfam family "Bacterial small subunit ribosomal RNA", at positions 28 to 431 of the family's 1533-position model. The record is from RNAcentral.